CAUGUUCCAGGCAGUAGAGCUCCCAGCAGGCGUUGCCAAUCUGGACACCAGCUUGGCCAACGUGGAUGGAGAUGCACUCACGCUGUGGGAGGAAGGGAAGGAAAACUCAGGAACAAAAUUCUACAUUAGCUGGGUGGGAUGGCAUGCGCCUGUAAUCCCAGCACUUGGGAGGCUGAGGUAGGUUUAUUUCUAGUUCCAGGCCAGCCUGGGCUACAAAGUGGGCUCAGGCCAGCCUGAACUGCACAGACACUCUCUCAAAAGAAGCUGGGCAAGUUCAGUGGCACAAGUGCCUGCCUAGCAAGCAGGAGGUCCCGAGUUUGAUUCCCGGCACCAAGAAAAAGAAAAAAGAAAGCCAAGGAAAAUGAAAAUGUCCUUUUGUCCAGGGGAAUGGCUAGCUUCUCUACGACCUCCAAACUGAGGGCUGUUGCGACGCAGAAGUCUGCUUACUCACGGCGUCCUCCUCUGGAGGACCAAGCUAGGGAGGGGUCAGCCCCACGGUCCCUCUGCAGCGCGGGCGCCCAGCUUUCCGGACGGCGCCGGGCGCAGCAAGCACGUGGCCGGGCAGUGCAGAAGAAAAUGUCCGCGCGCGGGGCGGGGCUCUGCGGCACGGGAUGAAUGCGCCACUCCCGACCGCACGGCUACCGUCCAACCCGCCUUCCCGCGGCCAGCGCCUCCACAUCAGCGUGGGCGUCAAGGGGCACCAGCGGCAGCCCAGGUCUGGGGCACGACCAGCCUCCCACCCCCCUUUCAGGGGCAUCGUCUACGCCCCCGCGAAGCGGUACGGCUGCAGGAGAGGAAGAUGGCCGCCGAAGGGCUGCUGGGCGGCGGCUUUUCUAGUACGGGGCGUACCGCUAGUGCUACACUGCUAAGGAAUCGAACUCACGACCUUCACUUCCCAGGCAGGCGCUGUGCCGCUGAGCUAAAUCUCCAGCCCCCGUGUAAGUAUUCUUGA
RNAcentral lists this long non-coding RNA (952 nucleotides) under Chinchilla lanigera (long-tailed chinchilla). Its description in RNAcentral is "lncRNA (ENSCLAG00000028759.1)". Lineage: Eukaryota; Metazoa; Chordata; Mammalia; Rodentia; Chinchillidae. The record is from RNAcentral.